AAAAUGACUCUCAGCAACGGAUAUCUUGGCUCUUGCAAC
RNAcentral lists this ribosomal RNA (39 nucleotides) under Lejeunea flava. Its description in RNAcentral is "partial 5.8S ribosomal RNA". Lineage: Eukaryota; Viridiplantae; Streptophyta; Jungermanniopsida; Porellales; Lejeuneaceae. The record is from RNAcentral. RNAcentral also lists the same sequence under 4 other names.